GGGUUGUGAGGUUAAGCGACUAAGCGUACACGGUGGAUGCCCUGGCAGUCAGAGGCGAUGAAGGACGUGCUAAUCUGCGAUAAGCGUCGGUAAGGUGAUAUGAACCGUUAUAACCGGCGAUUUCCGAAUGGGGAAACCCAGUGUGUUUCGACACACUAUCAUUAACUGAAUCCAUAGGUUAAUGAGGCGAACCGGGGGAACUGAAACAUCUAAGUACCCCGAGGAAAAGAAAUCAACCGAGAUUCCCCCAGUAGCGGCGAGCGAACGGGGAGGAGCCCAGAGCCUGAAUCAGUGUGUGUGUUAGUGGAAGCGUCUGGAAAGGCGCGCGAUACAGGGUGACAGCCCCGUACACAAAAAUGCACAUAUUGUGAGCUCGAUGAGUAGGGCGGGACACGUGGUAUCCUGUCUGAAUAUGGGGGGACCAUCCUCCAAGGCUAAAUACUCCUGACUGACCGAUAGUGAACCAGUACCGUGAGGGAAAGGCGAAAAGAACCCCGGCGAGGGGAGUGAAAAAGAACCUGAAACCGUGUACGUACAAGCAGUGGGAGCACGCUUAGGCGUGUGACUGCGUACCUUUUGUAUAAUGGGUCAGCGACUUAUAUUCUGUAGCAAGGUUAACCGAAUAGGGGAGCCGAAGGGAAACCGAGUCUUAACUGGGCGUUAAGUUGCAGGGUAUAGACCCGAAACCCGGUGAUCUAGCCAUGGGCAGGUUGAAGGUUGGGUAACACUAACUGGAGGACCGAACCGACUAAUGUUGAAAAAUUAGCGGAUGACUUGUGGCUGGGGGUGAAAGGCCAAUCAAACCGGGAGAUAGCUGGUUCUCCCCGAAAGCUAUUUAGGUAGCGCCUCGUGAAUUCAUCUCCGGGGGUAGAGCACUGUUUCGGCAAGGGGGUCAUCCCGACUUACCAACCCGAUGCAAACUGCGAAUACCGGAGAAUGUUAUCACGGGAGACACACGGCGGGUGCUAACGUCCGUCGUGAAGAGGGAAACAACCCAGACCGCCAGCUAAGGUCCCAAAGUCAUGGUUAAGUGGGAAACGAUGUGGGAAGGCCCAGACAGCCAGGAUGUUGGCUUAGAAGCAGCCAUCAUUUAAAGAAAGCGUAAUAGCUCACUGGUCGAGUCGGCCUGCGCGGAAGAUGUAACGGGGCUAAACCAUGCACCGAAGCUGCGGCAGCGACGCUGAUGCGUUGUUGGGUAGGGGAGCGUUCUGUAAGCCUGCGAAGGUGUGCUGUGAGGCAUGCUGGAGGUAUCAGAAGUGCGAAUGCUGACAUAAGUAACGAUAAAGCGGGUGAAAAGCCCGCUCGCCGGAAGACCAAGGGUUCCUGUCCAACGUUAAUCGGGGCAGGGUGAGUCGACCCCUAAGGCGAGGCCGAAAGGCGUAGUCGAUGGGAAACAGGUUAAUAUUCCUGUACUUGGUGUUACUGCGAAGGGGGGACGGAGAAGGCUAUGUUGGCCGGGCGACGGUUGUCCCGGUUUAAGCGUGUAGGCUGGUUUUCCAGGCAAAUCCGGAAAAUCAAGGCUGAGGCGUGAUGACGAGGCACUACGGUGCUGAAGCAACAAAUGCCCUGCUUCCAGGAAAAGCCUCUAAGCAUCAGGUAACAUCAAAUCGUACCCCAAACCGACACAGGUGGUCAGGUAGAGAAUACCAAGGCGCUUGAGAGAACUCGGGUGAAGGAACUAGGCAAAAUGGUGCCGUAACUUCGGGAGAAGGCACGCUGAUAUGUAGGUGAAGUCCCUUGCGGAUGGAGCUGAAAUCAGUCGAAGAUACCAGCUGGCUGCAACUGUUUAUUAAAAACACAGCACUGUGCAAACACGAAAGUGGACGUAUACGGUGUGACGCCUGCCCGGUGCCGGAAGGUUAAUUGAUGGGGUCAGCGCAAGCGAAGCUCUUGAUCGAAGCCCCGGUAAACGGCGGCCGUAACUAUAACGGUCCUAAGGUAGCGAAAUUCCUUGUCGGGUAAGUUCCGACCUGCACGAAUGGCGUAAUGAUGGCCAGGCUGUCUCCACCCGAGACUCAGUGAAAUUGAACUCGCUGUGAAGAUGCAGUGUACCCGCGGCAAGACGGAAAGACCCCGUGAACCUUUACUAUAGCUUGACACUGAACAUUGAGCCUUGAUGUGUAGGAUAGGUGGGAGGCUUUGAAGUGUGGACGCCAGUCUGCAUGGAGCCGACCUUGAAAUACCACCCUUUAAUGUUUGAUGUUCUAACGUUGACCCGUAAUCCGGGUUGCGGACAGUGUCUGGUGGGUAGUUUGACUGGGGCGGUCUCCUCCUAAAGAGUAACGGAGGAGCACGAAGGUUGGCUAAUCCUGGUCGGACAUCAGGAGGUUAGUGCAAUGGCAUAAGCCAGCUUGACUGCGAGCGUGACGGCGCGAGCAGGUGCGAAAGCAGGUCAUAGUGAUCCGGUGGUUCUGAAUGGAAGGGCCAUCGCUCAACGGAUAAAAGGUACUCCGGGGAUAACAGGCUGAUACCGCCCAAGAGUUCAUAUCGACGGCGGUGUUUGGCACCUCGAUGUCGGCUCAUCACAUCCUGGGGCUGAAGUAGGUCCCAAGGGUAUGGCUGUUCGCCAUUUAAAGUGGUACGCGAGCUGGGUUUAGAACGUCGUGAGACAGUUCGGUCCCUAUCUGCCGUGGGCGCUGGAGAACUGAGGGGGGCUGCUCCUAGUACGAGAGGACCGGAGUGGACGCAUCACUGGUGUUCGGGUUGUCAUGCCAAUGGCACUGCCCGGUAGCUAAAUGCGGAAGAGAUAAGUGCUGAAAGCAUCUAAGCACGAAACUUGCCCCGAGAUGAGUUCUCCCUGACCCUUUAAGGGUCCUGAAGGAACGUUGAAGACGACGACGUUGAUAGGCCGGGUGUGUAAGCGCAGCGAUGCGUUGAGCUAACCGGUACUAAUGAACCGUGAGGCUUAACCUUACAACGCCGAAGCUGUU
This 2930-nucleotide ribosomal RNA is filed under the name Escherichia coli. RNAcentral describes it as "23S ribosomal RNA". It matches the Rfam family "Bacterial large subunit ribosomal RNA". The record is from RNAcentral. Lineage: Bacteria; Pseudomonadati; Pseudomonadota; Gammaproteobacteria; Enterobacterales; Enterobacteriaceae.